RNAcentral lists this ribosomal RNA (434 nucleotides) under unidentified marine bacterioplankton. Its description in RNAcentral is "bacterial SSU rRNA". It matches the Rfam family "Bacterial small subunit ribosomal RNA", at positions 500 to 932 of the family's 1533-position model. The record is from RNAcentral.
UUCUGGUGCCAGCAGCCGCGGUAAUACGGGAGUGGCAAGCGUUAUCCGGAAUUAUUGGGCGUAAAGCGUCCGCAGGCGGCCCAGAAAGUCUGCUGUUAAAAAGUGGAGCUUAACUCCAUCAUGGCAGUGGAAACUUCUGGGCUAGAGUGUGGUAGGGGCAGAGGGAAUUCCCGGUGUAGCGGUGAAAUGCGUAGAUAUCGGGAAGAACACCAGUGGCGAAGGCGCUCUGCUGGGCCAUAACUGACGCUCAUGGACGAAAGCCAGGGGAGCGAAAGGGAUUAGAUACCCCUGUAGUCCUGGCCGUAAACGAUGAACACUAGGUGUCGGGGGAAUCGACCCCUCCGGUGUCGUAGCCAACGCGUUAAGUGUUCCGCCUGGGGAGUACGCACGCAAGUGUGAAACUCAAAGGAAUUGACGGGGGGGGGCACCAAAAA